GCCGGAAUAGCUCAGUUGGUAGAGCAGAAGACUGAAACCUCU
This 42-nucleotide transfer RNA is filed under the name Ptychostomum wrightii. RNAcentral describes it as "partial tRNA-Phe". Lineage: Eukaryota; Viridiplantae; Streptophyta; Bryopsida; Bryales; Bryaceae. The record is from RNAcentral.